AUGGGCGCAGCCUGAUGCAGCGACGCCGCGUGAGGGAUGGAGGCCUUCGGGUUGUAAACCUCUUUCGCCAGUGAAGCAGGCCUGUCCCUUUUGUGGGUGGGUUGACGGUAGCUGGAUAAGAAGCGCCGGCUAACUACGUGCCAGCAGCCGCGGUAAUACGUAGGGCGCGAGCGUUGUCCGGAAUUAUUGGGCGUAAAGAGCUCGUAGGCGGCUGGUCGCGUCUGUCGUGAAAUCCUCUGGCUUAACUGGGGGCUUGCGGUGGGUACGGGCCGGCUUGAGUGCGGUAGGGGAGACUGGAACUCCUGGUGUAGCGGUGGAAUGCGCAGAUAUCAGGAAGAACACCGGUGGCGAAGGCGGGUCUCUGGGCCGUUACUGACGCUGAGGAGCGAAAGCGAGGGGAGCGAACAGGAUUAGAUACCCUGGUAGUCCACGCCGUAAACGUUGGGCACUAGGUGUGGGGGGCCUUUUCCGGGUCUUCCGCGCCGUAGCUAACGCAUUAAGUGCCCCGCCUGGGGAGUACGGCCGCAAGGCUAAAACUCAAAGGGAUUGACGGGGGCCCGCACAAGCGGCGGAGCAUGCGGAUUAAUUCGAUGCAACGCGAAGAACCUUACCAAAG
This 616-nucleotide ribosomal RNA is filed under the name Actinomyces sp. oral taxon 175. RNAcentral's name for it is "bacterial SSU rRNA". It matches the Rfam family "Bacterial small subunit ribosomal RNA", at positions 371 to 979 of the family's 1533-position model. Lineage: Bacteria; Bacillati; Actinomycetota; Actinomycetes; Actinomycetales; Actinomycetaceae. The record is from RNAcentral.